This 1741-nucleotide ribosomal RNA is filed under the name Chimarra tsudai. RNAcentral describes it as "partial large subunit ribosomal RNA". The record is from RNAcentral. Lineage: Eukaryota; Metazoa; Arthropoda; Insecta; Trichoptera; Philopotamidae.
GGAUUCCCCGAGUAGCGGCGAGCGAAACGGGAAGAGCCCAGCGCUGAAUUCCGCGGUCCUCACGGGCCGCCGGGAAAUGUAGCGUUCGGGAGGAGGAUGUCAAUUAUCGCGCGGUUUUCGGCGCCCAGUCCAAGUUCAUCUUGAAAGGGGCCCCGCUUAUCCACAGAGGGUGCCAGGGCCGUAGCGACGGGCGCGGGCCGCGACGUUCCUCUUCCCCAGAGUCGGGUUGCUUGAGAGUGCAGCCCUGACCGGGUGGUAAACUCCAUCUAAGGCUAAAUACGCCCACGAGACCGAUAGCGAACAAGUACCGUGAGGGAAAGUUGAAAARAACUUUGAAGAGAGAGUUCAAGAGUACGUGAAACCGUUCAGGGGUAAACCUGCGGGACUCGAACGAUCGAACGGGGAGAUCACUCAGCGCGUCUUUCGGAGUCCGCGGCGGGCCGCGUCGUUCGUGUGAUGAGCGCGAAACGCACGGUCCGUCGCGCAUCCGAUUCCGAGAGCGCGUGCACUUCUCCCUCAGUACAACACCGCGACCCGUCGGCGUUGCGGCGGUCUACCGCGUCCGGCAGAGAGUCCCGGUGCUGGGCUUCGCGGCCCGGCUCCGGAAUCUGCUCGGCGUCGCGACCGCCGCCCGACGGUAGAGAACGAGGAUCGGAUCCGCGCACAGCGCGUCCGCGAUCGGGAUGCGGCGUCCCGCGUUUCGGGCUCCGGCGCUUCGGCGUCGCAGUCUCGGGCGUGCGAUGGGCGUCGUCGUCUCGGUCGCCGGACCGGAUCCGGCCCGGUCGGCGGUGGUUCCGUUUCGGGCACUCACAGGACCCGUCUUGAAACACGGACCAAGGAGUCUAGCAUGCGCGCGAGUCAUAGGGAAUCAUUAAACCCUGAGGCGCAAUGAAAGUGAAAGGCCUCACGGCCGAAGGGACGAUGGCGGACGGUCCGCCGUCCUGGCCCGCAGUCCCGGGGCGUUCGGAGAAAUGCCACCGUGCGAUUAUCCGGACGCACCGAGAGCGCUCACGCUGGGACCCGAAAGAUGGUGAACUAUGCCUGGUCAGGUCGAAGUCAGGGGAAACCCUGAUGGAGGACCGAAGCGAUUCUGACGUGCAAAUCGAUCGUCGGAACUGGGUAUAGGGGCGAAAGACUAAUCGAACUAUCUAAUAGCUGGUUCCAUCCGAAGUUUCCCUCAGGAUAGCUGGCGCUCGUGAAGCGUUUCUCGUCAUGCGCGAGAAGUUUUUCAGUCUCAUCCGGUAAAGCGAAUGAUUAGAGGCCUUGGGGACGAAACGUCCUCAACCUAUUCUCAAACUUUAAAUGGGUGAGAUCUCCGUCUUGCUCGAACAGUGAAGUCGGAGUUCGGAUGAGAGUGCCAAGUGGGCCAAUUUUGGUAAGCAGAACUGGCGCUGUGGGAUGAACCAAACGUCGAGUUAAGGCGCCAAACGGACGCUCAUCGGAUACCAUAAAAGGCGUUGGUCGCUCAUGACAGUAGGACGGUGGCCAUGGAAGUCGGAAUCCGCCAAGGAGUGUGUAACAACUCACCUACCGAAGCAACCAGCCCUGAAAAUGGAUGGCGCUGUAGCGUCCGGCCUAUACUCGACCGUCGGAGGCAAGCGCGGGGGCGUUGAUUCGUCCCCUUUACGCCCCGACGAGUAGGAUGGUCGCGGCGGUGCGCGCGGAAGGGACGGGCGCGAGCCCGCCUGGAGCCGCCGUCGGCGCAGAUCUUGGUGGUAGUAGCAAAUACUCAAGCGAGGUC